UACGGAGGGUGCAAGCGUUGUUCGGAAUCACUGGGCGUAAAGGGCGCGUAGGUGGCCUGUGGAAGUCUGCGGUGAAAGCCCGGCGCUCAACGCCGGGUCGGCCGUGGAUACUCUCGGGCUUGAGCUUACUAGAGGCAGAUGGAAUUCCGGGUGUAGCGGUGGAAUGCGUAGAGAUCCGGAAGAACACCGGUGGCGAAGGCGGUCUGCUGGGGUAAUGCUGACACUGAUGCGCGACAGCGUGGGGAGCAAACAGG
Molecule: ribosomal RNA, 254 nt
Filed under: uncultured bacterium
Lineage: Bacteria
Description: partial 16S ribosomal RNA
Rfam family: Bacterial small subunit ribosomal RNA
Source: RNAcentral